UUUCUAACUAAAUCGAUCUAUCUAUCUAUCUACCAUCUCAUAGCAACCACCUAGAACAACCUAGCAACCGCCUAGCAACCACACAAAUCACCCUGGCAACAUCCUAGUAACCAGCCCGAGUGCCUUAGCAACCACAUAGGAACACCCUAGCAACCACCCAGAAUUCCUUAGCAACCGUAUAGCAACACCUUAGCAACCACCCUGAGUACCCUAGCAACCACAUAGCAACACCCUAGCAACCACCCCGAGUACCCUAGCAACCGUAUAGCAACACCUUAGCAACCACCCUGAGUACCCUAGCAACCGCAUAGCAACACCCUACCAACCAUCCAAAAUACCUUAGCAACCACAUAGCAACACCCUAGCAACCACCCCUAGUACCUUAGCAACCACAAAGCAAAACCCCAGCAACCAUAUAAAACCCUUGCAACCACUCAGAGUACCCUGACUCUAUCUAUCUAUCUAUCUAUCUAUCUAUCUAUCUAUCUAUCUAUCUAUCUAUCUAUCUAUCUAUCUGUCUGUCUGUCUGUCUGUCUUUUAAACUACUAAACUAAAACUUAAACUUUCAAACUUUCAAACUUCAAACUUUUAAAACUACUUCAAACUUUCUGGACCGGCUUUUUCAAGCCAACUUAAAGUUUGUCUAAAAACUUUUUUAUUUUAUUAUUAUUAUUAUUAUUUAUUUUUAUUUUUUUUUACACACAUUAUAUGACUGUCUUUAAUUUUAAGUUACAUAAAAAUUGACAAUUACAAUUCUCAACCGCUAGAUGGCAACUGUGGCUCUACUGAGACAUGACUACUGGCAACGCGAGACUUGUUAGUUAGUAGAGAUCACUGUUCCCAGAUCUCGCGAUGAACAUUUCCACCAUUUUACAACUGUCGGACAGCAAGCAAGAGCAAAUGUUGAAGCAAAUUCUUUCCUGCUUUUGGUCUUGCUAUUUUCUUACUCAUAGUUUUCAGUCAGGCGACUGGAGCAGAGACCUGGAGGGCAAAACAUCCAUAGAACUGCAGGACAGGCCUGUCAAUUGCGUCUCAAAAAAGGCAAUAUCAACACCAUACAACAGGCCCUGCUCUCCUCACCAAGAACAACACCCGAGCCAUCACGGACAUGGAAAGGUCUUGACACCUUGCCAAGAGCUGGAUUUUUUUGAGACGCUAGGGAGGACUACAGAGCAAAUAUACACACAUUCAUUGAUGACACAGCAACAUUUAGAUCAUUUCUCUUUUAAGUUGCAGGACGCAUGAUAGGACACUCUUUCCAACAUGGUGGACCUCGGAUGGCUGGAGUCAGCCAAGCAAUAGUCCAUGUACUUCUAGGAGGUUCACCCGAGACUGACUGCAUCCAGCUCUGACCUUGAGCACUUAGUAAAGUUGUGGCUGGGGUGGGAAGUGCCAGAUGGAAAGAUGGCAGUGAAAGUUGUUAAUGCUGACAUGCCGAAGUCCUCCACUUGCUUCAACAUGCUACGCUUACCAGGUCAUUACACGGAUUUCAGCCAUUUUAAGGACAAACUCCUUAUGUGCAUUGGCACUUCUGAGUUUGGUUUUGAACUUGUUUAGAUCUAUGAAAUCCGACACAGUUGACACAAAGACACCAUGUCUAUAAGUUAAGUUACAGUACCAUAGUUUGACCUGUUGUUUGGACUUGUUGGGACAUUGAUUUUGAUGCAGUUAACCUAUGCACAUGUUCAUGUAGUAUUGCUGUUUUAUUUUUGAGAAGGGGAAAAACCUAAUGCAAUAUUUUAUUUACAACAGACCUACACUGGUUUUAAAGCACUUUAGCUAUCCAUUCUUCUAUGUAUAAAUGAAACAGUUUUUGAAAACAAAAUACACAUUGAAUGUUAUGGUUGAAUUAUUCAUCAAAUAAAUUUAAAUUCAAUUCCAGCAGUCCAGUUAAUGUGUCAUUACUCAAGUGCUUGGCAAAACUACAGUGCAGCCAUGUAAAUGUCUAUCCCAUGGGAUUGUGAUGGUGACCUAGGAUCCACUGUGCUUUGGUGUAAGUGGACCUUUUUUUCCAAAUAUAUAU
This is a long non-coding RNA of Ctenopharyngodon idella (grass carp), 2023 nucleotides long. RefSeq lists it as uncharacterized. NCBI's taxonomy places the organism in Eukaryota, Metazoa, Chordata, Actinopteri, Cypriniformes, Xenocyprididae. The transcript is spliced from 7 exons. The record is from RefSeq and is a predicted model, not a curated record.